This 520-nucleotide ribosomal RNA is filed under the name uncultured bacterium. RNAcentral describes it as "bacterial SSU rRNA". It matches the Rfam family "Bacterial small subunit ribosomal RNA", at positions 32 to 523 of the family's 1533-position model. The record is from RNAcentral.
AAUCAACGCUGGCGGCGUGCCUCAGACAUGCAAGUCGAACGCGAAAGGUUCCUUCGGGAGCCGAGUAGAGUGGCGCUCGGGUGAGUAACACAUAGGUAAUUUGCCUUUGGGUGGGGAAUAACAAUCGGAAACGGUUGCUAAUACCGCAUAAUGCAGCGGCUCGACAUCGAGACAGUUGUUAAAGCGGGGGAUCCUUCGGGACCUCGCGCCUAAAGAGAAGCCUGCGGCGGAUUAGCUAGUUGGUGAGGUAAUGGCUCACCAAGGCGACGAUCCGUAACCGGCCUGAGAGGGCGGACGGUCACACUGGACACUUAAAUACGGGUCAGGACUCCUACGGGAGGCAGCAGUCGGGAAUUUUGGGCAAUGGGCGAAAGCCUGACCCAGCAACGCCGCGUGAAGGAUGAAAUCCCUCGGGAUGUAAACUUCGCAAGAACGGGAAGAAUAAGCGAGAGUAAAUACCUCUCGUGAUGACGGUACCGUUUGUAAGCUCCGGCUAACUCCGUGCCAGCAGCCGCAGUAA